GACAAGCUCAAUUAAAAGUCCAAAUGUCCUAGAGAGUUUACAGGGUGUGCAGGCUUUGGUUCCAGCCCAGACUUAAUACAAUUCAAUCAACUAAUUCACUCAUUAUUCAGGGUUUGAUUACAUGGCAAGACUACUGUAAAACGUCUCAAAUAGAAGCCUGUCCCUUUUAAUAGCCAGGUAACGGCAUCACAUCCCUUUUAAUAGCCAGGUAACGGCAUCACAUCCCUUUUAAUAGCCAGGUAACGGCAUCACAUCCCUUUUAAUAGCCAGGUAACGGCAUCACAUCCCUUUUAAUAGCCAGGUAACGGCAUCACAUCCCUUUUAAUAGCCAGGUAACGGCAUCACAUCCCUUUUAAUAGCCAGGUAACGGCAUCACAUCCCUUUUAAUAGCCAGGUAACGGCAUCACAUCCCUUUUAAUAGCCAGGUAACGGCAUCACAUCCCUUUUAAUAGCCAGGUAACGGCAUCACAUCCCUUUUAAUAGCCAGGUAACGGCAUCACAUCCCUUUUAAUAGCCAGGUAACGGCAUCACAUCCCUUUUAAUAGCCAGGUAACGGCAUCACAUCCCUUUUAAUAGCCAGGUAACGGCAUCACAUCUCAGCAAAUAAAAAACGCCUGGUUUUAA
Molecule: long non-coding RNA, 624 nt
Organism: Oncorhynchus keta (chum salmon)
Lineage: Eukaryota; Metazoa; Chordata; Actinopteri; Salmoniformes; Salmonidae
Exons: 3
Source: RefSeq, a predicted model, not a curated record